ACGCUCGACACCUACAGGAGGCAGCAGUGGGGAAUAUUGCACAAUGGGGGAAACCCUGAUGCAGCGAUGCCGCGUGAAGGAAGAAGUAUCUCGGUAUGUAAACUUCUAUCAGCAGGGAAGAAAAUGACGGUACCUGACUAAGAAGCCCCGGCUAACUACGUGCCAGAAGCCGCCGGUAAGUACUGAGGCGGGCGUGGCGAAGGACG
RNAcentral lists this ribosomal RNA (206 nucleotides) under uncultured bacterium. RNAcentral describes it as "partial 16S ribosomal RNA". It matches the Rfam family "Bacterial small subunit ribosomal RNA", at positions 328 to 538 of the family's 1533-position model. The record is from RNAcentral.